Molecule: long non-coding RNA, 2234 nt
Organism: Neopsephotus bourkii (Bourke's parrot)
Lineage: Eukaryota; Metazoa; Chordata; Aves; Psittaciformes; Psittacidae
Exons: 3
Source: RefSeq, a predicted model, not a curated record
UUGCACUGAUCCUGAGGAAUUUGGGAGCUGGAUGGACUAUCUCUUAAUGUAGAUUAAAAGAUGUUUUAGUCUCACAGAUAGGGAAAAAUCAUCCUGCAAGUUAGAUACAUAAGGCUCUGAAAUGGACUUUGUGGGCAAAUGGAUCAAGAAAAUUGAGCUUCAGCCUUUUGCCAUGAGUCAUGUUCAGAAGCACAGGAAGUUCAGGAAUCCCUUUGAAAUAUACUAGUGAACAAAUUGUUUCAUUGUUACAUUUUUAAUAAUAACUUCCUCAUUUUUUGUGUGUGUGAGUUUUAUCCCAGCAGGUGAAGAAGGCAAAAAUGAUAUGCAAUCUCUGGACAAGAGGCAGCUUCAACACUCUUCACAACUUGUAGCGUGCCUUAUGUUUGUUAUAUCAUCUAGCAGUGGAGUUUAUUUUGGAGAAUGAUCAAUAGCAUGGAAAAUCUUAAAAUAUUUUAAUUAUUGUAUGUUAUGUCUCAGUGGACCCAUCCAGUUUGUCUCAGGUGGAAGUAGAUUCCUACUCUGAUAGUCCUUCCACACUACAGAAAAGCUCCAGGCUUUUUCAGUUAGUGUGUGGAAACUUCAGCUGCUUCCCCUGCAAGACCAUAUACAGCUCCAAGAACAGGGCUGACUGUUAUUUUCAUUAGUUGUCAUGAACUAACAGAAGUCCUGCUGUUCAAACUUCUGCUCUCAGUGACAUGCCUCAUCAUUAUUUGGAUCUGAGCACAAGGGUCACUGUCAUUCUGUAAACCAUCCUCGAGAUGAGGCACAAAAAAUGGUAGUCUCCAGCUCACCGUAUUCCAGCUUUGAGGAAUCUGUAGGGUGAGCACAGACAAAAGCUGUUGACGAUUAAUCACUCUAGACUGUCACUCUGACACACCAAGGAAAGGUAUCAAAUAGAUCUGUUAUUACAUGCUCAUGCUCCAUGAACAUUUUCACUCUAAGAAAUGGUGAAGAAAAUCAUCACAGACGUGAGGAUUUUAACAAAUUCAAGAAUACUCUUUUAUUAAUGCUUUAUGUGCUUCUAUUCAUCAGGGGAAAUGCUUUUCAUGUUGUAGCUUGAAUUUUCCUUUUAUAUAAAUGAAAUGUUGGGAAAAUGGCUGUUUACUUCCACUGUGGUACAGCUGUGUAAUACACUACAGAGGGAGAGAAAAAAGACAAAAUUAUUGAAAAAUGUUAUUACACGGUGACAUUUGGGUAUGUAUUUCAGAUGUAACCUAGAUAAAUAGAUUAGGUGCAGAACUGCGAUACGGAUUAUAUUUAAUAGCAUAAAUAUUUAGGAGAUAAGUUGUCCCAUUGAAUCAAGUUGCAGGAUAAAGAGGCAAAGUGUUGGUACUAGCAGUGAUCUGCAUCUGACUCCUCAUAUCCAAAACUCCAGGAUGGGCUGACACCACAGCAUCAGCUAUUAAAAGUAACAGUACAUGGGAUGUUGUUCUCUGUGUUGCCAUACCAUUGAGUAGUGAGAUGAGGUCAGAUGGAUUCAACUGCCAACUAAAGUUGGACCUAGAUCUAAGCUGACUUUCAUUUUACCAAAGAAAUCACCACUUGGAGACAAUUAAAAAAUUCUGUCUUCAUACAGUGAACAACUGCACUGCCUGCAGUGGCAAUUCAGCAUAAAUGCAUUACCCAUCUAAAGCACCUGUAUUUCAUAUAAGAAACAUAUAUCAAGGGUAAAACAAUUUGAUUUUCUUCAAGAAAAGUAGGAUACCAAGAAGAGAAUUCAAAUACUGUUCUCUGAUCCACUCCAGUUUUCUUCAGACAUGCUGGAUGUACCUGCAAAGAACAAAAGCAGAGCUGAACUCAGUAACUACUCAGUGAUUAAACAUAGUCACUGGGCAGUAUAUGUAUGCUUCUUACCCAGUUGUCUGCACAAUUCAGGUGGUUGCCUUUGAGAUGCUAGGACUUGCCACUGAAAUUCCUGUAGAUCUGCCUGCAGUAACUGGAGAUUGGGUUAUCCGGUCCUGGACCUCCAGUGGACUACACUGCCUGCAUGGUGUAUGUUCAUUUUCUUCUGGGAUCCUUCUGGGGUGAGCCAUCUGGUCCCUUCUUAGAAGAAAGCAAGUCAUAUUGCUGAGAACCGUUCCUUUCUCACAGUUUUUACUCCUAGAUUUUUACUCUCUCUUUUACACCCAGAACUGAUGUCCAGCAACAGCCCCAGUGGACGUUCCCAUGAUCUACAUGAGACCUCUUACUGUGCUCCCAGCAGCAUACUGCAAUGUUGUCUAUGUUGUGCUUUA